RNAcentral lists this ribosomal RNA (348 nucleotides) under Triticum aestivum (bread wheat). Its description in RNAcentral is "partial small subunit ribosomal RNA". The record is from RNAcentral. Lineage: Eukaryota; Viridiplantae; Streptophyta; Magnoliopsida; Poales; Poaceae.
AUGAUUGUGCAUUUAGGUUUUGGAGGGUGCUCUGCUCACCAUGAUGCCGGGGACGGAAGGGGGGAUCCUUCUCUGGAGAAGCUUGAGGGUGUAGCUGGCUACUUCCUCAGGGGUGGCCCUGUCCUUGCACUCGGCACCAGGGGUCACCAUGCUUGGCUUCAAGAGGAUGCCCUCAAACAUGACGUUGUUCUGGGCCAUAUAGUAGAAGGUCUCCGCCCACACCUUCUGUGCGACCUCGAAGGUCCUCUCGAUGCCGUGCUCACCGUCGAGCAUGAUCUCAGGCUCCACAAUCGGCACCAGCCCAUUGUCCUAGAACAUCGACAAACAAGAGGUUUACAUAUCUACUAG